RNAcentral lists this ribosomal RNA (466 nucleotides) under uncultured bacterium. RNAcentral describes it as "SSU rRNA". It matches the Rfam family "Bacterial small subunit ribosomal RNA", at positions 26 to 518 of the family's 1533-position model. The record is from RNAcentral.
AGGAUUAACGCUGGCGGCGUGCCUAACACAUGCAAGUCGAACGAGGUAGCAAUACCUAGUGGCAGACGGGUGAGUAACGCGUGGUCAACCUACCGUUGAGUGGGGGAUAACUAGCCGAAAGGUUAGCUAAUACCGCAUACGAGUCUCGGGGGCAUCCCUGGGCCUUAAAAGGAGCAAUCCGCUCGAUGACGGGACCGCGUCCCAUUAGCUAGAUGGUGGGGUAAUGGCCUACCAUGGCACCGAUGGGUAGCUGGUUUGAGAGAGCGACCAGCCACACUGGGACUGAGAAACGGCCCAGACUCCUACGGGAGGCAGCAGUGAGGAAUUUUCCGCAAUGGGCGAAAAGCCUGACGGAGCGACGCCGCGUGUGGGAAGAAGGCCUUCGGGUCGUAAACGACUGUCGAAGGGGACGAUAAUGACGGUACCUUCGGAGGAAGCCCCGGGCUAACUACGUGCCAGCAGCCGC